AGCAGCCGCGGUAAUUCCAGCUCCAAUAGCGUAUAUUAAAGUUGUUGCAGUUAAAAAGCUCGUAGUUGAAUUUCGGGGUCAGUAGGUUGGUCGUGCCACCGGUACGUACUGGUCUCACUGAUUCCUCCUUCCUGAUGAGCUGUAAUGCCAUUAAUUUGGUGUUGCAGGGAAUCUGGACUGUUACUUUGAAAAAUUAGAGUGUUUAAAGCAGGCUAACGCUUGAAUACAUUAGCAUGGAAUAAUGAAAUAGGACGUUCGAUCCUAUUUUGUUGGUUUCUAGGAUUGACGUAAUGAUUAAUAGGGAUAGUUGGGGGCAUUAGUAUUCAAUUGUCAGAGGUGAAAUUCUUGGAUUUAUUGAAGACUAACUACUGCGAAAGCAUUUGCCAAGGAUGUUUUCAUUAAUCAAGAACGAAAGUUAGGGGAUCGAAGACGAUCAGAUACCGUCGUAGU
This 450-nucleotide ribosomal RNA is filed under the name uncultured Glomeromycotina. RNAcentral's name for it is "SSU rRNA". It matches the Rfam family "Eukaryotic small subunit ribosomal RNA", at positions 569 to 1024 of the family's 1831-position model. The record is from RNAcentral. Lineage: Eukaryota; Fungi; Glomeromycota.